CCUGUCCCAAGAGGCACUGCAGGUUUGACUGCUGUGUUACAUGUAUGUCAGUCAGUAGGUGGCAAAUAGGAAAGAGUUUAGAAAAUUGAACAUAAUAAUACCUGAGGACACAUUAAUACCACUCCUAGGCAUACAUC
Molecule: small nucleolar RNA, 137 nt
Filed under: Mus caroli (Ryukyu mouse)
Lineage: Eukaryota; Metazoa; Chordata; Mammalia; Rodentia; Muridae
Description: snoRNA (MGP_CAROLIEiJ_G0035686.1)
Rfam family: Small nucleolar RNA SNORA17 (bases 1-99)
About the family: snoRNA ACA 17 belongs to the H/ACA family of snoRNAs and is predicted to guide pseudouridylation of the 28S rRNA at positions U4659 and U4598. It shares the same host gene together with ACA43.
Source: RNAcentral